Non-coding RNA from Xylariaceae sp. FL0255, 91 nucleotides. NCBI's taxonomy places the organism in Eukaryota, Fungi, Ascomycota, Sordariomycetes, Xylariales, Xylariaceae. The record is from the annotation of a GenBank genome assembly.
GGCACAGUGGCGGAGAGGUUAACGCGCAAGACUUGAAUCUUCAUGACAUCUUGUUCCUUCGGGAGCGUCCGUUCGAAUCGGGCCUGUGUCG